Molecule: ribosomal RNA, 275 nt
Filed under: uncultured bacterium
Lineage: Bacteria
Description: partial 16S ribosomal RNA
Rfam family: Bacterial small subunit ribosomal RNA
Source: RNAcentral
UACGUAGGCAGCAAGCGUUGUUCGGAGUUACUGGGCGUAAAGGGUGCGUAGGCGGCUUCUUAAGUCUGGUGUGAAAUCUCCCGGCUCAACUGGGAGGGUGCGCCGGAUACUGAGGGGCUAGAGUGUGGGAGAGGAAGUGGAAUUCCUGGUGUAGCGGUGAAUGCGUAGAUAUCAGGAGGAACACCUGUGGUGUAGACGGCUUUCGUGGACCAUAGCUGACGCUGAGACACGGAAAGCGUGGGUAGCAAACAGGAUUAGAACCAUACGGUACGCAG